RNAcentral lists this ribosomal RNA (505 nucleotides) under uncultured Smithella sp. RNAcentral describes it as "bacterial SSU rRNA". It matches the Rfam family "Bacterial small subunit ribosomal RNA", at positions 32 to 513 of the family's 1533-position model. The record is from RNAcentral. Lineage: Bacteria; Pseudomonadati; Thermodesulfobacteriota; Syntrophia; Syntrophales; Smithellaceae.
AACGCUGGCGGCGUGCCUAACACAUGCAAGUCGUACGAGAAAGUUGGCUUCGGCCGAUGAGUAAAGUGGCGCACGGGUGAGUAACGCGUGGAUAAUCAACCCCUCAGUUGGGAAUAACUCAUCGAAAGGUGGGCUAAUACCGAAUAAUACUGCAUGACUUCUGUUGUGUAGUCAAAGAUGGCCUCUGCUUGCAAGCUAUCGCUGAAGGAUGAGUCCGCGUACCAUUAGCUUGUUGGUAGGGUAAUGGCCUACCAAGGCAACGAUGGUUAGCUGGUCUGAGAGGAUGAUCAGCCACACUGGAACUGAGACACGGUCCAGACUCCUACGGGAGGCAGCAGUGAGGAAUAUUGCGCAAUGGGGGCAACCCUGACGCAGCAACGCCGCGUGAGUGAGGAAGGUUUUCGGACCGUAAAGCUCUGUCGAGCGGGAAGAAAUGCGUAGUGGCUAAUAUCCAUUAUGCUUGACGGUACCGCUAAAGGAAGCACCGGCUAACUCCGUGCCAGCA